AGCCGCGUGACCGAGAGGAUAGGUGAGGGCCUGCAAAACCUUACACGGUAGUUCGAAUCUACCCGCGGCAU
Molecule: transfer RNA, 71 nt
Filed under: Mucilaginibacter sp. 21P
Lineage: Bacteria; Pseudomonadati; Bacteroidota; Sphingobacteriia; Sphingobacteriales; Sphingobacteriaceae
Description: tRNA-Cys
Rfam family: tRNA
About the family: Transfer RNA (tRNA) molecules are approximately 80 nucleotides in length. Their secondary structure includes four short double-helical elements and three loops (D, anti-codon, and T loops).
Source: RNAcentral